UAGGGAAUCUUCCGCAAUGGACGCAAGUCUGACGGAGCAACGCCGCGUGAGUGAAGAAGGAUUUCGGUUCGUAAAACUCUGUUGUUAGAGAAGAACAGCGCAUAGAGUAACUGUUAUGCGUGUGACGGUAUCUAACCAGAAAGCCACGGCUAACUACGUGCCAGCAGCCGCGGUAAUACGUAGGUGGCAAGCGUUGUCCGGAUUUAUUGGGCGUAAAGCGGGCGCAGGCGGUCAUUUAAGUCUGAUGUGAAAGCCCCCGGCUCAACCGGGGAGGGUCAUUGGAAACUGGUUGACUUGAGUGCAGAAGAGGAGAGUGGAAUUCCAUGUGUAGCGGUGAAAUGCGUAGAUAUAUGGAGGAACCCCAGUGGCGAAGGCGACUCUCUGGUCUGUACCUGACGCUGAGGCUCGAAAGCGUGGGUAGCAAACAGG
This 429-nucleotide ribosomal RNA is filed under the name Bacteroidota bacterium. RNAcentral's name for it is "Bacteroidetes bacterium partial 16S ribosomal RNA". It matches the Rfam family "Bacterial small subunit ribosomal RNA", at positions 355 to 776 of the family's 1533-position model. Lineage: Bacteria; Pseudomonadati; Bacteroidota. The record is from RNAcentral.